CCACGCCCGAAGUCGUUACUCCAACCGUUCGCGGAGGAGGACGCCGAAGGCAGGGCUGAUGACUGGGGUGAAGUCGUAACAAGGUAGCCGUACCGGAAGGUGUGGCUGGAUCACCUCCUUUAAGGGAGACCUAACCCGUCUGAUACCGAAACAAAUUGGAAUAGGUGCAGAUGAGGUCUAACCUAAGGUCGGUCGAGGUCAGUGAUUGUUUCUGAGCUUUCAAACUAACUAGGUGUGGGGCCGUGGGCUAUUAGCUCAGGUGGUUAGAGCGCACCCCUGAUAAGGGUGAGGUCCCUGGUUCGAGUCCAGGAUGGCCCACCUUGGAGAUGGGGGUUUAGCUCAGUUGGUAGAGCGCCUGCUUUGCAAGCAGGAUGUCAGCGGUUCGAGUCCGCUAACCUCCACUGAAGACCCACAUUUAGCAGCAUGUAUUGAGUUCAGCAACUUAUCUAGAUUUAGCUAGAGAGCCUGCUGGGUUCAUUCCAGCAAGAACCUUGAAAACUGCAUAGACAAAGUCAGGUAGAGAGUCAGGAUUGAUGAGUCAAUUCUGAUGAAUCACAGACACCAAUGUAAUUGAUUGUGGUCAAGCUACAAAGGGCUGAUGGU
RNAcentral lists this unclassified non-coding RNA (603 nucleotides) under Trichocoleus sp. AS-2c. RNAcentral describes it as "partial contains 16S ribosomal RNA, 16S-23S ribosomal RNA intergenic spacer, and 23S ribosomal RNA". The stretch from base 1 to 121 matches the Rfam family "Bacterial small subunit ribosomal RNA", at positions 1415 to 1533 of the family's 1533-position model. The record is from RNAcentral. Lineage: Bacteria; Bacillati; Cyanobacteriota; Cyanophyceae; Leptolyngbyales; Trichocoleusaceae.